Equus caballus (horse) is the source of this 2676-nucleotide long non-coding RNA. The record is from Ensembl. NCBI's taxonomy places the organism in Eukaryota, Metazoa, Chordata, Mammalia, Perissodactyla, Equidae.
GGCUUUUGUGACCUGACCUCGGGGGUGGUGCCAUGUGACCUCUGCUGCACGGUAUUGGUCAGAGUACUCACCACACAGCUAGAUUCAAGGGGAGAGGGACACAGACCCUACUCUCAACGGGAGGAGUGCCAAAGAUUUUGCAGUCGUUUUUUAAAAAACUGCCACUGGACGUUUAUAAAGAGCUCACUCUGUGCUAGGCAGCAUGUAAGCGCGUGACCUGCUUAGUCCUAGGUGACACUCGCUAAAACCUUUUGAAGCCCUUACUAGCCUUGGUCCCAUCUUACAGAAGAGGAAAUAAGGCACAGAGAGGUAAAGGAGAGCCCAACCCACAGCUAGUAAAUGGAAGAGGGCGUGUCCAGAGCCACAUCACUCCCCCGGUUGAAAACCACCCAUUUUAGCCAAUUACACUUCAGAUAAACUCAGGCUCCCCACUCUGAUUGGUAAGACCUCACAUCGUAUGGCCCCACCCCCUCACCGGCCUCAUCUUGUCCCCUAUCUCCUGCUCACCUCAUUCUCCAGCCACACUGGACGCUCAGCAGUUCCCUCCUCCUAUAAUUCCCUUCCCAGAUCUUCACUUAUCUGCCCCCUUCUCAUCAUUUAGAUUUCAGCUCAAGCGUCCCCUCCCUUGGUGGUUCUCCACUGCAUCCCAGCCCUUACCGCAGACUGAAAUUAUCUCAUUGAUGUGUUUGUUUUACUGUUGGCCUCCCACUGCUGGAAUGUCAGAUCCGAGGAGGAGAGGGCGUCCUUGCUCACGGCAGCACCUCCAGCACCCGGCCCGGGCUGGCGCGUGGUCCCACUCAGCGCUGUUGAGUGAGUGUGUGAGCGUCUGACUCAGCGCCCGGCCCCCUGAUCCUUGUGCAGUUCUGCACUCUUGCCCUGCGUGCCUCCGUUCAGCACGUGCAGGCUAUGUGCAGGCAGGAGAGAUUUCUUUUCAUUCAUGGUUGGAUUCAGACAGAACGGGUACAGUUUUAGAGCUACAGGGACCUUCAAGUUCAUCCUGUCCAGUGUUCACUCUGGUCCAAGCUGCUUCAGCCUGUUCGUUUGACAGACAGAGAAACAGAGGCUGUGACCUGCCUGAGGUUAUGUAACUGGUGCGUGGUGGCGCCAAGAUCCACCGGGGGCGCGGGGGCCAUCUGAUCCACACCUUUUCCCACCUUCCUGAUGGAAAGAACAGUUCCCGAGCAGCAAGAGACUUGCCCAGGCUCGUAAGUGCAAAGCUGGGGCUGGAACCUGUCCCUUUGGGGGUUCCCCGAGGCCCCUGAGGCCUCCCAGACUCAUCUGCAGCUUUGCCUCCUUCCACCGCACUGAGGGCCACCCCGUGGGCACGCUGGUCAAUGAGCGCUGACCUCAAGGGUGCCGGAUCUGCUUUAAAGAGAAGCCCUCUGAGAGGACCGGGCCCCUCCCAGCGUUUCCUGUUUCUGGGGAGCUGGUCACGGCCGUGUAUGUGCCGCUCUGCAGCGGCAGCGGAGCGAGGGGCUCCCGGGGGACGGGCGGGCCGCUGGCCUGCAGGUUCCCCACAAAGCAAGGAAGCGUGAUGUCACCAGAAGGAGGAUGGAGCUGGAAGUGAAGAAGGACGCCCCUGCCCUCUCAGAGCCAAAGCGAAGGCUUUGAAGGCAAGACGGCAGCGCUGAAAGGCGUCACAGCAACCAAGGAAAGGGAGGUCCAUGUCACCCACCUUCGCAGCCCAGGCAUCCUCGGAGGAGAGCCCCAGGAGCAACAGGCCUGAGCUCUGUGUCCUCACCGAGGUCCCCGGCAGCCGCGAAGCCGCGAAGGAGACAGAACAGCACGUGUGUUCAUUGUCGAUGGUCAACACCAGCGCACACAGCCUGGGAGGCUCUAGGGGACGUCAUGUGGCCCAGGCCACCCCCCGACGGGCCUGAAGGGGAGAGAAGGCACGUGCUCCACGGCUCCAGGCUGUGGGGCUUUGGGUGUUGCCCAAACUGGGAUCAUUUGAACAGGGUCCAGGGGGGCACCCAGCUCUGAGAUCACUGGGGGAUUUUCAGUGAAUCGCCCAAUAACAGCCGCCCAUUGCCGAGGUCCCCAGGCCGUUCCCUGAUGGUCCUGGCUCUGAGCCAGGAAGGGGUCUCCCUACGGGCCUUUUGGACGGAGGGUUACCGGGAAGCAGGACUCUCAGUGCUAGACCCGGGCUAGCCCAGCUUCUGGGUGACCCCGGCUCCUGCUCGCAGGGCCUCGCCCGGAGGAGGACUUCCCUCCAGCUCCGCUCCCCCAGCACGGCCCUCUCUGCCGGCGGUGCUCCCAUGUGAUCACUUAGCUCAUUACUUCAGAAUGAACUGUUUCUGUACCUGUUUGCUGGCCCAGCAGUAAAGCCCCUCAGGAGUGGAGACCCUGCCUCGCUCAUCCUUGUGCCUCCAGGGUCUAGCCCCACGUCUGAACGCCCACCAUCCCUGGACCCCAGACUCAGCAUCCUGUUCUCGGAGUCGCUCCUCCUAGUUACAAAGCACUGUGUACAGGGCCCAGUCUUUGAAAUCUAGAGCACGGCUCCAGUCGGACCGGCCCCACGUCAAGUGCUACCAGCCACGUGUGGCUGGUUUCCUGCGUUGGGCAGUGCAGGACUAGAAUGAUCCAGAGCCAAGUACCCGGUGAAUAUUCAGCAAGGGUGGGGCGAGGCGCUGUGCGUGAGGCAUGGCCUGGGUGCCUGGGGGCGAUGGCAGCAGG